UGACAUUUUCCCUGAAUCUAUGUACAGUCAAACCUCUCUAUAACCUGCUUGUCGCGCAUGGGUGGAUCUAGGGCCCAGAGAGGUUGUUACCCAAACACCUCGAUAAAAAAUUAAACCGUAUAUCUAAGUAGAAGUAUGACUGCUCAUCUUGAUCAUGUAAAAGCUAUUUUGGGCUGAUGCAACAAUAUCAACUUCAUGCUAAGAUGGCUAAGUGUGAAUUUGGUGUACCUAAGGUGGAAUACUUAGGUCACUUCAUUACUGCUGAAGGUGUUGUAACUGAUUCAAAGAAGAUAAUUGCUGCACAAAGUUGGCCUGUUCCUAGCAACGUCAAACAAUUGAAAGGGUUCAUUAGUCUUCUAGCAACUUUGUUGAUGAGAAGGAUGAGGCGACAAGCAAGGUGGUGGCAUAGUUUUUCUUCCCCUUAAUUAUGGUUUUGCCCUUUCGGGCUUUUAUUUCAAACAAUGAUAUUUCUUUUGGUUUGUUGAUGGCAUGUUGAACAAUUUAUUUUUUGUGUUUUCGCGUUUUGGUUUGGAUGUUUGGUUGUCAUUUUGAUGACUCUUGCCCUCGUUGGGCUAGAUGUUGUUAUGGAUAUAUUGUUUUUGAAA
Lycium ferocissimum is the source of this 605-nucleotide long non-coding RNA. RefSeq lists it as uncharacterized. The record is from RefSeq and is a predicted model, not a curated record. The transcript is spliced from 2 exons. NCBI's taxonomy places the organism in Eukaryota, Viridiplantae, Streptophyta, Magnoliopsida, Solanales, Solanaceae.